GCUGGCGGCGUGCCUAAAUACAUGCAAGUCGAACGAAGCACCUCGGUGCUUAGUGGCGAACGGGUGAGUAACACGUGGGUAACCCGCCCUCAAGACGAGGAUAACCGUUGGAAACGAUGGCUAAGACUGGAUAGGAUACGGAGGCAUCUUCUGUAUUUUAAAAGACCUGGCAACAGGUAUGCUUGAGGAGGGGCCUGCGGCGCGAUUAGUUAGUUGGUGAGGUGAUGGCUCACCAAGACGAUGAUGCGUAGCCGGACUGAGAGGUUGAACGGCCACAUUGGGACUGAGAGACGGCCCAAACUCCUACGGGAGGGCAGCGAGUAGGGAAUUUUCGGCAAUGGGGGAAACCCUGACCGAAGCAACGCCGCGUGAACGACGAAGUACUUCGGUAUGUAAAGUUCUUUUAAGAGGGAAGAAUGGCCCGUGGAAAAGCGGGCGUGACGGUACCUUUUGAAUAAGCCCCGGCUAACUAUGUGCCAGCCGCCGC
Molecule: ribosomal RNA, 487 nt
Filed under: uncultured bacterium
Lineage: Bacteria
Description: bacterial SSU rRNA
Rfam family: Bacterial small subunit ribosomal RNA
Source: RNAcentral